RNAcentral lists this ribosomal RNA (491 nucleotides) under uncultured bacterium. RNAcentral's name for it is "partial 16S ribosomal RNA". It matches the Rfam family "Bacterial small subunit ribosomal RNA", at positions 29 to 507 of the family's 1533-position model. The record is from RNAcentral.
AGUGAACGCUGGCGGUAGGCCUAACACAUGCAAGUCGAACGGCAGCACAGUAAGAGCUUGCUCUUACGGGUGGCGAGUGGCGGACGGGUGAGGAAUACAUCGGAAUCUACUUUUUCGUGGGGGAUAACGUAGGGAAACUUACGCUAAUACCGCAUACGACCUACGGGUGAAAGCAGGGGAUCUUCGGACCUUGCGCGAUUGAAUGAGCCGAUGUCGGAUUAGCUAGUUGGCGGGGUAAAGGCCCACCAAGGCGACGAUCCGUAGCUGGUCUGAGAGGAUGAUCAGCCACACUGAAACUGAGACACGGCCCAGACUCCUACGGAGGGCAGCGGUGGGAAUAUUGGACAAUGGGCGCAAGCCUGAUCCAGCCAUACCGCGUGGGUGAAGAAGGCCUUCGGGUUGUAAAGCCCUUUUGUUGGGAAAGAAAAGCAGCAGGUUAAUACCCCGCUGUUCUGACGGUACCCAAAGAAUAAGCACCGGCUAACUUCGUG